RNAcentral lists this ribosomal RNA (427 nucleotides) under uncultured bacterium. RNAcentral describes it as "bacterial SSU rRNA". It matches the Rfam family "Bacterial small subunit ribosomal RNA", at positions 355 to 774 of the family's 1533-position model. The record is from RNAcentral.
UGGGGAAUUUUGGACAAUGGGCGCAAGCCUGAUCCAUCAAUGCCGCGUGCAGGAUUAAGGCCUUCGGUUUGUAAACUGCUUUUGUACGGAGCGAAAAGGUCUGCCCUAAUACGGUGGGCUCAUGACGGUACCGUAAGAAUAAGCAUCGGCUAACUACGUGCCAGCAGCCGCGGUAAUACGUAGGGUGCUAGCGUUAAUCGGAUUUACUGGGCGUAAAGCGUUCGCAGGCUGUUAUAUAAGACAGAUGUGAAAUCCCCGGGCUCAACCUGGGACCUGCAUUUGUGACUGAAUAGCUGGAGUACGGUAGAGGUGGAUGGAAUUCCGUGUGUAGCAAUGAAAUGCGUAGAUAUGCGGAGGAACACAGAUGGCGAAGGCAAUCACCUGGACCUGUAAUGACGCUCAUGCACGAAAGCGUGGGGAGCAAACA